GUCCACGCCUUAAACGAUGUCAACUGGUUGUUGGGGGAUUAACUCCCUUAGUAACGAAGCUAACGCGUGAAGUUGACCGCCUGGGGAGUACGGCCGCAAGGUUAAAACUCAAAGGAAUUGACGGGGACCCGCACAAGCGGUGGAUUAUGUGGAUUAAUUCGAUGCAACGCGAAAAACCUUACCUACCCUUGACAUGUACGGAAGCCUCCAGAGAUGGAGAUGUGCCCGAAAGGGAACCGUAACACAGGUGCUGCAUGGCUGUCGU
This 265-nucleotide ribosomal RNA is filed under the name uncultured bacterium. RNAcentral's name for it is "partial 16S ribosomal RNA". It matches the Rfam family "Bacterial small subunit ribosomal RNA", at positions 793 to 1055 of the family's 1533-position model. The record is from RNAcentral.